AGGAUGAACGCUGACAGAAUGCUUAACACAUGCAAGUCGACUGGAAUUCUUCUUCGGAAGAUAGUACGGUGGCGGACGGGUGAGUAACGCGUAAAGAAUUUGCCCUUUAGACUGGGACAACUAACCGAAAGGUUAGCUAAUACCGGAUAUUAUGAGACCUUGGCAUCAAGGACUUAUGAAAGCUAUAUGCGCUGGAGGAGAACUUUGCGUCCCAUUAGGUAGUUGGUAGGGUAAUGGCCUACCAAGCCGACGAUGGGUAGCCGGCCUGAGAGGGUGAACGGCCACAAGGGGACUGAGACACGGCCCUUACUCCUACGGGAGGCAGCAGUGGGGAAUAUUGGACAAUGGACCAAAAGUCUGAUCCAGCAAUUCUGUGUGCACGAUGAAGGUCUUCGGAUUGUAAAGUGCUUUCAGGUGGGAAGAAGAAAGUGACGGUACCACCAGAAGAAGCGACGGCUAAAUACGUGCCAGCAGCCGCGGUAAUACGUAUGUCGCAAGCGUUAUCCGGAAUUAUUGGGCGUAAAGCGAGUCUAGGCGGCUUGUUAAGUCAGAUGUGAAAAUGCGGGGCUCAACUCCGUAUUGCGUUUGAAACUGGCAGGCUAGAGUACUGGAGAGGUGGGCGGAACUACAAGUGUAGAGGUGAAAUUCGUAGAUAUUUGUAGGAAUGCCGAUAGUGAAGACAGCUCACUGGACAGAUACUGACGCUAAAGCUCGAAAGCGUGGGGAGCGAACAGGAUUAGAUACCCUGGUAGUCCACGCCGUAAACGAUGUUCACUGGGUGUAGGGGGUCGAACCUCUGUGCCGAAGCUAACGCGAUAAGUGAACCGCCUGGGGAGUACGCACGCAAGUGUGAAACUCAAAGGAAUUGACGGGGACCCGCACAAGCGGUGGAACAUG
RNAcentral lists this ribosomal RNA (897 nucleotides) under uncultured bacterium. RNAcentral's name for it is "bacterial SSU rRNA". It matches the Rfam family "Bacterial small subunit ribosomal RNA", at positions 26 to 941 of the family's 1533-position model. The record is from RNAcentral.